UGGGGAAUCUUGCACAAUGGGCGAAAGCCUGAUGCAGCAACGCCGCGUGCGGGAAGACAGCCCUAGGGUUGUAAACCGCUUUCAGCAGGGAAGAAACUGACGGUACCUGCAGAAGAAGAUGCGGCCAACUACGUGCCAGCAGCCGCGGUGACACGUAGGCAUCAAGCGUUAUCCGGAUUUAUUGGGCGUAAAGAGCUCGUAGGCGGUUCGGUAAGUCGGGUGUGAAAACUCUGGGCUCAACCCAGAGAGGCCACUCGAUACUGCUGUGACUAGAGUGCGGUAGGGGAGCGGGGAAUUCCUGGUGUAGCGGUGGAAUGCGCAGAUAUCAGGAGGAACACCGGUGGCGAAGGCGGGUCUCUGGGCCGGAACUGACGCUGAGGAGCGAAAGCGUGGGGAGCGAACAGGAUUAGAUACCCUGGUAGUCCACGCCGUAAACGAUGGGUGCUAGGUGUUGGGUAGCUUGCUAUUCAGUGCCGAAGCUAACGCGUUAAGCACCCGCCUGGGAGUACGGUCGCAAGAUU
RNAcentral lists this ribosomal RNA (521 nucleotides) under uncultured bacterium. RNAcentral's name for it is "bacterial SSU rRNA". It matches the Rfam family "Bacterial small subunit ribosomal RNA", at positions 355 to 895 of the family's 1533-position model. The record is from RNAcentral.